RNAcentral lists this ribosomal RNA (445 nucleotides) under uncultured bacterium. RNAcentral describes it as "partial 16S ribosomal RNA". It matches the Rfam family "Bacterial small subunit ribosomal RNA", at positions 354 to 796 of the family's 1533-position model. The record is from RNAcentral.
GUGAGGAAUAUUGCGCAAUGGAGGCAACUCUGACGCAGCCAUGCCGCGUGCAGGAAGAAGGCGCUACGCGUUGUAAACUGCUUUUAACUGGGAAGAAACCCCAGGACGUGUCCUGGGUUGACGGUACCGGAGGAAUAAGCACCGGCUAACUUCGUGCCAGCAGCCGCGGUAAUACGAAGGGUGCAAGCGUUAUCCGGAUUCAUUGGGUUUAAAGGGUGCGUAGGCGGAGCGUUAAGUCAGUGGUGAAAUCCUGCAGCUUAACUGUAGACUUGCCAUUGAUACUGGCGCUCUUGAGUGCGCUUGAAGUGGGCGGAAUGUGCCGUGUAGCGGUGAAAUGCUUAGAUAUGGCACAGAACACCAAUUGCGAAGGCAGCUCACUAAGGCGAUACUGACGCUGAGGCACGAAAGCGUGGGGAUCGAACAGGAUUAGAUACCCGGGUAGUCC